Molecule: long non-coding RNA, 2105 nt
Filed under: Homo sapiens (human)
Lineage: Eukaryota; Metazoa; Chordata; Mammalia; Primates; Hominidae
Description: HSALNT0336465
Source: RNAcentral
CACCGGGUGAAGACAGGGUAGACCACGAAUGUGAGCAUCAGCUCCCUUGGGUGGGUGCCCUGAAGCACUGAAGUAGGGAAGCGGAAGAGUAGAGGAAACCCACCAAGGUGAAGUGACUCCGGAGUUGUUUGUUUGCUGGGCGCUUGGAACCUCCAGAAACAUUCCACCUCUCAGGCUGUGAAGCUAAGACUUACUGCCAUUGAAAAUGAGAAGAAGAGACUAGUAGAGACAGCUGAGACCAAACACUUUAAUUGAGUCAACAGAAGGAUUCAAUUUAAACCUCCAACAAACAGAAUGGCUGUAAGACAAGUUGCAUUUGAUUGGCAAGAACCAAACACUUGAUGUGUCUGGAAUUGGUAGCUUCUUGGUCUCACUGACUUCAAAAAUGAAGCCACGGGCUCUUGCGGUGAGUGUUACAGUUCUUAAGGGUGGCGUGUCCGGAGUUUUUUCCUUCUGAUGUUCAGCUGUGUUCAGUUUCUUCCUUCUGGUGGGUUCGUGGUCUCGCUGGCUCAGGAGUGAAGCUGCAGACCUCUGUGGUGAGUGUUACACCUCUUAAGGUGGCGCGUGUGGAGUUGUUCGCUCCUCCUGGUGGGUUUCUGGUUUCACUGGCUUCAGGAGUGAAGCUGCAGACCUUCGCCGCGAGUGUUACAACUCAUAAAGGCAGCGUGGACCCAAAGAGUGAAAGAACAAACCUUCCACUAGUGUGGAAGGGGACCCGAGUGGGUUGCCACUGCUGUCUGGGGCAGCCUGCUUUUAUUCUCUUAUCUGGCCCCCGCCCACAUCCUGCUGAUUUGUCCAUUUUACAGAGAGUUGAUUGGUCUGUUUUACAGAGAGCUGAUUGGUCUGUUUUGACAGGGUGCUGAUUGGUGCGUUUACAAUCCCUGCGCUAGACACAAAAGUUCUCCACCUCCCUGCUAGAUUAGCUAGAUACAGAUGUCGACUGGUGUAUUUACAAACCCUGAGCUAGACACAGAGUGCUGAUUUGUGCAUUUACAAACCUUGAUCUAGAUACAGAGUGCCGACUGGUGCAUCCACAAUCCCUUAGCUAGACAUAAAGAUUCUGCAAGUCUCCACCAGAUUAACUAGAUACAGAGUGCCAAUUGGUGCAUCCACAAACCCUGAGCUAGACACAGGGUGCUGAUUGGUGUGUUUACAAACCUUGAGCUAGAUAAAGAGUGCUGAUUGGUGUGUUUACAAACCUUGAGCUAGAUACAGAGUGCUGAUUGGUGUAUUUACAAUCUCUUAGCUAGACAUAAAGGUUCUCCAAGUCCCAACCCAAUUAACUAGAUACAGAGUGCCAAUUGGUGCAUUCACAAACCCUGACCUAGACACAGGGUGCUGAUUGGUAUGUUUACAAACCUUGAGCUAGAUACAGAGUGCCGAUUGGUGCAUUCACAAUCCCUUAGCUAGACAUAAAGGUUCUCCAAGUCCCCACUAGACUCAGGAGCCCAGCUGGCUUCACCCAGUGGAUCCUGCACCAGGGCCGCAGGUGGAGCUGCCUGCCAGUCCCGCACCUUUCACCUGCACUCCUCAGCCCCAGUGGGCCAGCACUACUGGGGGACCCGGCUCACCCUCCGCAGCUGCUGGCCCGGGUGCUAAGCCCCUCAUUCCCUUUGGCAGGUGGGGCCGGCGGGCCGGCUGGCUGCUCCAAGUGAGGGGCCUGCGGAGCCCACACCCACCUGGAACUCGUGCAGGCCCGCAAGCGCCGCAGGCAGCCCCAGUUCCUGCCUGUGCCUCUCCCUCCACACCUCCCUGCAAGCGGACGGAGCCAGCUCGGGCCUCGGCCAGCCCAGAGAAGGGCUCACACGGUGCAGUGGUGGGCUGAAGGGCUCCUCAAGUGCGGCCAGAAUGGGCGCCGAGGCCAAGGAGGCAUUGAGAGUGAGUGAGGGCUGCGAGGGCUGUCAGCGUGCUGUCACCUCUCACUGAGAGAAAAAUGGCUUUAGAUUUGACUUAUAUUGGCAGUGCUUUGUGGAACCACUUAGUGGGAGGAUGCAGGUUAUGACAUGGAGCAUUUUUUUACAUAGAAGGGAAGAUAUUAAAACACUUCCUGCCCAGAAGUGAGAAACUUAUAGAGGACCUGGAGAUGAAAGCAACACAUGGAGAUG